RNAcentral lists this ribosomal RNA (356 nucleotides) under uncultured bacterium. RNAcentral describes it as "bacterial SSU rRNA". It matches the Rfam family "Bacterial small subunit ribosomal RNA", at positions 8 to 350 of the family's 1533-position model. The record is from RNAcentral.
AGAGUUUGAUCCUGGCUCAGGAUGAACGCUAGCUACAGGCUUAACACAUGCAAGUCGAGGGGAAACGACAUCGAAAGCUUGCUUUUGAUGGGCGUCGACCGGCGCACGGGUGAGUAACGCGUAUCCAACCUGCCCACCACGUUGGGGAUAACCUUGCGAAAGUAAGACUAAUACCCAAUGACGUCUCUAGAAGACAUCUGAAAGAGAUUAAAGAUUUAAUCGGUGAUGGAUGGGGAUGCGUCUGAUUAGCUUGUUGGCGGGGUAACGGCCCACCAAGGCUACGAUCAGUAGGGGUUCUGAGAGGAAGGUCCCCCACAUUGGAACUGAGACACGGUCCAAACGUCCUACGGGAGGCA